This 502-nucleotide ribosomal RNA is filed under the name uncultured bacterium. RNAcentral's name for it is "bacterial SSU rRNA". It matches the Rfam family "Bacterial small subunit ribosomal RNA", at positions 28 to 526 of the family's 1533-position model. The record is from RNAcentral.
GAUGAACGCUAGCGGCAGGCCUAAUACAUGCAAGUCGAACGGAUAUAUGUUUUUCGGAAUAUAUAUUAGUGGCGCACGGGUGAGUAACACGUACAUAACUUGCCCUCAAGCGGGGGAUAGCCUUGGGAAACUGAGAGUAAUACCCCAUAGAAUUAUUGGACGGCAUCGUUUGAUAAUUAAAACUACGGUGUUUGGGGAUAGAUGUGCGUCUGAUUAGCUAGUUGGUGAGGUAACUGCUCACCAAGGCGACGAUCAGUAGGGGGCGUGAGAGCGUGGCCCCCCCACACGGGUACUGAGACACGGACCCGACUCCUACGGGAGGCAGCAGUAAGGAAUAUUGGUCAAUGGACGGAAGUCUGAACCAGCCAUCCCGCGUGCAGGAUGACUGCCCUAUGGGUUGUAAACUGCUUUUAGCAGAGACGAAACGCCUCCAUUUAUGAGGGUCUGACGGUAUCUGCAGAAUAAGCACCGGCUAACUCCGUGCCAGCAGACGCGGUAAAGU